Molecule: ribosomal RNA, 253 nt
Filed under: uncultured bacterium
Lineage: Bacteria
Description: partial 16S ribosomal RNA
Rfam family: Bacterial small subunit ribosomal RNA
Source: RNAcentral
UACGUAGGCAGCGAGCGUUGUUCGGAGUUACUGGGCGUAAAGAGUGCGUAGGCGGUUUUCUAAGUUUGGUGUGAAAUCUCCCGGCUUAACUGGGAGGGUGCGCCGAAGACUGGAAGGCUUGAGUAUGGGAGAGGUAAGCGGAAUUCCUGGUGUAGCGGUGAAAUGCGUAGAUAUCAGGAGGAACACCGGUGGCGAAAGCGGCGCACUGGACCACAACUGACGCUGAGGCGCGAAAGCUAGGGGAGCAAACAGG